This 253-nucleotide ribosomal RNA is filed under the name uncultured bacterium. RNAcentral describes it as "partial 16S ribosomal RNA". It matches the Rfam family "Bacterial small subunit ribosomal RNA", at positions 524 to 776 of the family's 1533-position model. The record is from RNAcentral.
UACAGGGGUCUCAAGCGUUGUUCGGAUUCAUUGGGCGUAAAGGGUGCGUAGGCGGCGCGGUAAGUCGGGUGUGAAAUCUCGGAGCUUAACUCCGAAACUGCAUUCGAUACUGCCGUGCUUGAGGACGGGAGAGGAGACUGGAAUUUACGGUGUAGCGGUGAAAUGCGUAGAUAUCGUAAGGAAGACCAGUGGCGAAGGCGGGUCUCUGGACAGUUACUGACGCUGAGGCACGAAGGUCAGGGGAGCAAACGGG